This 421-nucleotide long non-coding RNA is filed under the name Lathyrus oleraceus (garden pea). RNAcentral describes it as "Pisum sativum (pea) long non-coding RNA (PSAT_LNC035319)". The record is from RNAcentral. Lineage: Eukaryota; Viridiplantae; Streptophyta; Magnoliopsida; Fabales; Fabaceae.
UCAUGAAAGAGGAUCAAAGACCAAUCACAGUAGUAGGAAUCAUCUUAAUGCAUUGGAUGCAUGCAAUCAUGCUUUCGAAAGGGUCUCACUAAGUAAACCUGGUUCACCAAGUAAAUCUGGUUCACCAAGUAAAUCUGGUUCACCAAGUAAACCUGGUUCACCAAGUAAAUCUGGUUCACCAAGUAAAUCUGGUUCACCAAGUAAAUCUGGUUCACCAAGUAAAUCUGGUUCACCAAGACAAGUAAAUCUGGUUCACCAAGUAAACCUGGUUCACCAACUAAAUCUGGUUCACCAAGUAAAUCUGGUUCACCAAGUAAACCUGGUUCACCAAGUAAAUCUGGUUCACCAAGUAAAUCUGGUUCACCAAGUGAAGAGACUGAGAGCUGCAACCCUCCGGGUCAGCUUAUAUUUCAAUACUUUG